Molecule: unclassified non-coding RNA, 247 nt
Filed under: Pyrenochaeta sp.
Lineage: Eukaryota; Fungi; Ascomycota; Dothideomycetes; Pleosporales; Cucurbitariaceae
Also listed under: 1 other name
Description: partial contains 5.8S ribosomal RNA, internal transcribed spacer 2, and large subunit ribosomal RNA
Source: RNAcentral
AACGCACAUUGCGCCCCUUGGUAUUCCAUGGGGCAUGCCUGUUCGAGCGUCAUUUGUACCCUCAAGCUCUGCUUGGUGUUGGGUGUUUGUUCCGCUGUGCGCGUGAACUCGCCUUAAAUCAAUUGGCAGCCGGCAAUCUGGUGUUUGAGCGCAGCACAUUUUGCGCUCUUCGCUGUAUUGCGGCGUCCAUAAAGCCUAUAUUUAUGCGCUUGACCUCGGAUCAGGUAGGGAUACCCGCUGAACUUAA